This 2605-nucleotide long non-coding RNA is filed under the name Gallus gallus (chicken). Its description in RNAcentral is "lncRNA (ENSGALG00010020914.1)". Lineage: Eukaryota; Metazoa; Chordata; Aves; Galliformes; Phasianidae. The record is from RNAcentral.
AAACUAAAAGACUAAUGGACACCCCUGGCAAGAGCCCCUUGAUUGAACAGAGCAGGUGCAAUGUUAGAUUUAAUGUGUUUGAACAUUCUGGGAAUAUGUGGAAAACUGUGUGAAGAUUCAUAUGUCAAAUAGGAGUGAUUUAGCUCUGAGGUCUGCAUGCUUUGUGGAAAGAUCCCCACACAUCCAUUGCUGCAAAAACCCAAUGUUGACUUUCUAAGCCAUCAUUUGGUUUGAAGUGUUUUCUUGAGUAAGAUUUUCAGUAAGAAGGCUAUUGUUUCAGGCUUUAGAGAAGAGGCCAGGAAACGCUGCCUGCAGGUUUGCUCUCUCCUGUUCAGGUGCUGCCACCAACUGUUUCUCAGAGGUGGGAGCCAAACCGGAUAAAGGCUGCGCAAGCUGUAGGAGCUCUAAUAUCAAGAUAUUCCUUCACCAAAUAUCAGCCAGCUCAACCAAGUGCAGGCAGCACCCAACCAUCACCACAACCAAGGAGGCUCUAUACAGCUGUCUGUCACGAGACCUCUCGCCCGCACUACAACAGGCUCCAUCCACAGCCUUUCCAAAGGCCCAAACCUGGCAGUUUAACCCUUUAUUCAUUCUUUGGCUUGGUCACAGGUUGGGUACACCAACAAGCAGUUGAUGCAAAAUCUAACAAGUGCAACCAGUGCAGUUUCAUUUCCAAAUGAGGCCUGCAGGGUGUUUGGCAAAUCAAAGAUGUGGAUGUGCAGCAGAGGUGCUCUCGCUUAGUAUUUAUUGGUAAAGCUCGUCAAAAUGUGUUAAAUGUUCUUUCUUCUCCCCUCUCCCUCUCAUGAAUGCUUUGGAAAACAGUCAGGAGAUCCUAAAUAGGGAUUUAUCUGGAGACAAGGCUGCUUCCGAGCACUGCACACCGCCUUUAAGCAUCCAAAUUAUGUUCCGUGUUUAAGUAUCCAAACAUGUUCUGUGUCAGCUUCUACUGAACAACACAGCUUUAUUACAAAAGCCUAAGUACGUUGUAUACUCAUACUUCUCUGAUGGUUGGGAAAACCAACUUUGUUCAUAUAAUCAGAAAAAAAAUCAUACAAAAGCAACAGAUGAAGGUGUUUACAAGCCAGUGCUGGCUCUCUCAACAGCAACGUGCAGGCACCAAGUGGAGAAUUCAACCAAGAAUUCAACUUGAGGCUGGUUUUGUUCAAAAAUAAAACCUUUUGCCUGUUUUCCUUAAAAAUCUGGGGGAAGGCAGAAGUGGAUUUAUUAGGAAUUAAUGGUUUUAGUGUACUGUCAGCCUAAUCAGAAAUACUUGCAUAGGUGGUGGUGCUCACUGGAUGUCCCCUGCAGUCAGUGGGACUGGCUCUGUCAUUAGGAUUUCACAGUAGGAACUACCUGAAGCGCUCUACAUGUCCCUUGCAGCACAGUUCUCUCAAUUGCUGAGGGAACCUCUGCAGACCAGCUUUCUGGCUCAGAUGUUUAUGUUCAGCAUGAAACUCAGCCAGGGUGACUCUCACUCUGACUUUAAAGGAUAUUGGAAGAGACGAGCGUAACCGCAGCUUGGCUAUGACAGUGGCUUGAGAUGCAGUUCCACAGCAGCUUAAGUGGAUCCAUUUCAUCCAGCUAACCUGGCACAAAAAACUAACCCAACCUAAAAAAAGCAAUUAGCUUUCUGCUAGCUUACUGACCUGCAACAGCUCUGUGCAGGGUCAGAGAAGCACCAGAGCUGGCACAAGUGAGGGUAUGAGACUGCAGCACCCAGUGAUUAGAUUAGCAGAACAUUAAAGGAGAGGCAGACCACUACAGACAGCUGCAAGCUUGAAAUAAUGAUGAAAGUUUAUGACACCAUACCCACCCUGGAAGAACUCCAGGAUUCCCUCUCAGGGACUAUAUAUUCUUUAUAAUGAAGCUUUUCAGGGCAGGGAUCAUGUCUGUGUGAGGAGGAGGUAGCAAUGAGAGAAAGCAGAAGAGAGAUGAAAUAGUGGAGGGAGACAGAAAAGUUCUGGGUCUGAGUCUGUAUCCAGCUGUGGUAAUUCAAACACUUCUAUUCAUGUAUUUAGAAUGAAAAGAUGAAAUUCCUUCUCCUGCCCUCUGUCAAAUUGAGGUCCUGAAUCUGUUCAGGACAAGAAGGGUUUCACAGUGCCUGCCUCAGCUAGGCACUGUUUUGACUUGUAAAAUCACACUUGUACAAUAUUAAAGAAGAAUACAUAUAUAUAUGUAUUUGCAAUGAAGAUGGAAAGAAUACUGAAAUACAACUUAGGGAAAGAAGUGGCUGAAUAUAGUUUUGUAUGCCACAAUAAAUCCAAUUUGGUGCCUAAAGAGGAGAUAAAAUGAUAAAGGUAAUAUACUUGACAAAGUUUCACGGAAGGAUAUGCUGGAAAAAUCUAUCCAGACCAUUUAUUCCUCUGUGGACAACAGGAUAGACUCAUUACAAAUUCUGCCUUUGUUGCUGUGUAGAAAUGAAAAUGCUAAUUGGUUUACUUGAAGUUUAAUUGAAAAUUAAUAGAAUUUCACUAGAGAUUUGCAGAAUAGGACUAGAGUUAAAAUGACAUUUGAUUAAAGUCAUACUAAAAAUCUACUCAAGGACAUUUUGAAGACAGCAGCAGUGGAGUUCCUUUUAAAAGCAGAAAUAAAUAUUUAUCAUUAG